RNAcentral lists this ribosomal RNA (254 nucleotides) under uncultured bacterium. Its description in RNAcentral is "partial 16S ribosomal RNA". It matches the Rfam family "Bacterial small subunit ribosomal RNA", at positions 524 to 776 of the family's 1533-position model. The record is from RNAcentral.
UACGGGGGGAGCAAGCGUUGUUCGGAUUUACUGGGCGUAAAGGGCGCGUAGGCGGUCACGACAAGUCAGUUGUGAAAUCUCCGGGCUUAACUCGGAACGGUCAACUGAUACUGUCGGACUAGAGUGCAGAAGGGGCAACUGGAAUUCUCGGUGUAGCGGUGAAAUGCGUAGAUAUCGGAAGGAACAUCAGUGGCGAAAGCGGCUUCCUGGACCAGCACCGACGUUCAGGCACGAAAGCGUGGGGAGCAAACAGG